Helianthus annuus (common sunflower) is the source of this 3076-nucleotide long non-coding RNA. RefSeq lists it as uncharacterized. The transcript has 11 exons. Lineage: Eukaryota; Viridiplantae; Streptophyta; Magnoliopsida; Asterales; Asteraceae. The record is from RefSeq and is a predicted model, not a curated record.
CCAUCGAGCUGGCUUCAUCUCCACCAGGCGAUUCAAGAGGAGAUCUAGGGUUUCUCUUGGUGAUGCAAGAUCUGGCUUUCUCAAUGACACCAGAUCAACGAAUCUCUCUCUAUACGAUGCCCAAUCGACUGAGUUUGAAGGUGAUGAAGGGUUUGGAUCUGCCAAUUAGUGACGUAUGUGCAAGGGGGUGUUUGGUCUGCCAAUCGGUGAUGUUCGAACAAGAUUUCACAAGAUCUAAGACGCCUGGUGUGUAGUGUUAUAUCCGACGACUAGGGUUCAGGUGCUAGAAUUCUCAAGCUGAGCGGUGGCAAUAGAGACGAGUUCCCGGUUGUAGAUGGUGGUUGAGGUAGUUCCGACAAACUGAGGUUGUUGAAAGCUAUGAGCGAGCUUAUAGUAAUAUGGUUCGUGUUCGCCAAUUGUCUGAGUUAGAGGAGGCCCGUUCGUAUUGCCACCAACAAAGUAUGUGCCAAUAAACUAUGUUGAACAUACAUACAUGAGCAGUUCAGAGGUUCGGGAGAGUAGGAAGAUUGAGCCGAAGGGGCUUAUGGUUACUCGCCAAGAGUCCAAUCGCUGGUCAAAUACGUCUUGCAAGGUUUGGGUCUUAUCAGAAACCCGGGAAACAAGGCUACUGCUUCAGUUUCAAAAAGGUUUAAGCUACAGUUCAGAAACAAGAUUGCCCUGUCGGUCUACACUGGGAGCGUCUUUUAGGCGAGCAUGAAUCGUCCAUUGAAAUACCCUUUGUUGAUGCUCGGAGUGACCAGAUAGUGGAUAUCGGGCCUGAAUCUGUUGCAAAACUGAAAAUACUGGGAUUUUGAGUUGGUGACGGUAACGAUGACGGUAGUUGGGCAUGCAAACACUUUCAAGAAACCAUUAUGAGCGAACGGGAAGGGAAACAACGAAUUCUUCAAGGAAAUACUUGUUUGCAGCUAAACAAAGGCGUUUGUUAUGUUCGUAACAAGAUUUCUUUUACUCAUAGUGCGGAACAUACAAGAAAUAGUCUGUACAGACUGGUGGCAGUAGUUGUGGAUGCUGAUUUGAUGAAUGGAGUGGAAGUAGCAACGACGGAAGCAUUUGUCAUGAAGGAUCGGCGUUAUAUCUAUCACAAAAACAUGUGUGCCCGUCUUUAUCAGAUAAGGUGUGCUAUUUAAAGCAGAUCGGCUAUAAGGGUCCUUGCUAUACACGUCUGAAAGACACAGAUGUGUGCACUUUGAAGGAUUUGUUGAGACUACUCUACACGAAUCCAAAACGGCAUGAAGAGAUUCUUGAGCUAAAAGCCUCUUGCAAGUUUUGGGAUGAAAUUGUAAAAAGCGCACAAGCAUCAAAUGGAACAUUUUUGUACCUCGAUCCUAGAGACGAACAAAAAACCGGCGUUGUUCUUGAUGUUAAACUGCAAUUGAAGGUGUUGAUAGUAGAACCUCAUCGGUACAUCAGCCAGUGCCACAUUAGCAAUGUUUAUGGGAAUGAUUUCAAUAUUCAUAGGAAUUUCAAUGCUGGCACCUGAUGACUCGAAAGGUAGAUGGGGACAGAAGCUGUAUAGGAUGCGAUAUGGAAAUGAUUUCAAUAUUCAUAGGAAUUUCAUUGCUGGUACCUGAUGACUCGAAAGGUAUAUAUUUGCUCCAUCAUUAUAACUUCAGCUUGGGAUGACAAUAUGGCUAGGUUGGGUCUUGUUGUGUUGUGUUGGGUCGUGUCGGGUCGGGUCGGGUCGUGGCGUUAAACAACUGCAAACGCGGAAGCAAAUGGCUGCAUUUUUACACCCAUUUGCUGCUGCGUUUGCAGCCGUAAACGCGCCGUUAAACGGCUGCAAAAACGCAGCCGUUUGCAGCCGUUUAACGGUGCGUUUACGGCUGCAAAUGCAGCAGCAAGGUGUAAAAACGCAGUCGUUUGCUGCUGCGUUUGCAGCCGUAAGCGCACCAUUAAACGGCUGAAAAUGCGGCAGCAAAUGGCUUCGUUUUUACACCCGUUUGCUGCUUCAUUUGCAGCCGUAAACGCGCCGUUAAAUGGCUGCAAACGCGGCAGCAAACGGGUGCAAAAACGCAGUUGUUUGCAGCCGUUUAACGACGCGUUUACGGCUGCAAACGCAGCAGGAAACGGGUGUGAAAAGCGCAGCCGUUUGCAACCGUAAACGUGGCGUUAAACCGUUGCAAACGGGUGCAAAAACGCAGCCGUUUGCAGCCGUUUAACGGCUGCAAACGCAGCACCAAAUGGGUGUAAAAACGCAGCAAGAACGGGACCUAGCUGUCGACAAGACCAAAUUCACUAACGUCUUCGUUAAAAACCUCUCCGAAUCAACAACCGAUGGGGAUUUACAAAAAGCGUUAGUGAAUAUGAAACGAUCACCAGUGCGGUUGUGAUGAGGGACGCUGACGGUAACUCCAAAUGCUUUGGUUUGUUAACUUUGAGGGUAUCGAAGAUGCUGCUAAAGUUGUAGAAGGCCUUAACGGACAGAAGUUUGAUGAAAAAGAAUGUUUUGUCGGGAAAUCGCAAAAAAAAAAAAAAAAAUGAACGGGAACUGGAGUUGAAACAGAAGUUUGAGCAGAGUAUGAAGGAGGCGGUGGACAAAUCACAGCGGUUAAACUUGUAUGUAAAAAAAUUAGAUGAUACGGUGACUGACAGGGAGUACGUUGCGCCUUUCGGUACUAUAACUUCCUGCAAGGUCAUGAGAGAUCCUAACGAAACUAGCAAAGGUUCAGGUUUUGUUGCGUUUUGUUGAAUUAGAUUGUUUUAAACAUUUCUUGAUCUCAGAAUAUACAUAAUUUUGAAUAACUGAUUUACUAUUGUAGCUAAUGUAUAUGUUUCAUAGCUUCCUUCAAUAGAAGUUCAGAAGACUUCAAGGUUCAAAGUGAGAAGUAAGCAAGACAAGAGUAAAGUUUGAUAAUGAUGAUGAUAGUGUUAGCUGUUUGCUGCAGUCUCUUGUCUUGGAUUGAAAAAGAGACUAUUGUUGUAUUUUGAUGGGAGAAAUGAAUAAGUAAAACUGUUUUUAUUACCGAAUUUCCUUGUGAUGGUAUAGUGUUUAAAAUUUGUGGGAAUAUCAAGUUUAGUAUUAUCAAGUAUUAACCUUUCUUUGCUUUUGGUGCAA